CAGCAGCCGCGGGAAUACGUAGGGUGCAAGCGUUAAUCGGAAUUACUGGGCGUAAAGCGUGCGCAGGCGGUGUUGUAAGACUGAUGUGAAAUCCCUGGGCUCAACCUGGGAAUUGCAGUGGAUACUGGGCAACUAGAGUAAGGUAGAGGAUAGCGGAAUUUCCGGUGUAGCAGUGAAAUGCGUAGAGAUCGGAAGGAACAUCUGUGGCGAAGGCGACUAUCUGGGCCAUUACUGACACUGAGGCACGAAAGCGUGGGGAGCAAACAGGAUUAGAGACCCCUGUAGUCCCUGUCUCUUAUAC
This 301-nucleotide ribosomal RNA is filed under the name uncultured bacterium. RNAcentral's name for it is "partial 16S ribosomal RNA". It matches the Rfam family "Bacterial small subunit ribosomal RNA", at positions 509 to 807 of the family's 1533-position model. The record is from RNAcentral.